UGGGGAAUAUUGGACAAUGGAGGAAACUCUGAUCCAGCACUUCUGUGUGUGUGAAGAAGGUUUUAGGACUGUAAAACACUUUUAGUAGGGAAGAAAACAAUGACGGUACCUACAGAAGAAGCAACGGCUAAAUACGUGCCAGCAGCCGCGGUCAUACGUAUGUUGCGAGCGUUAUCCGGAAUUAUUGGGCUUAAAGGGCAUCUAGGCGGUAAGACAAGUUGAAGGUGAAAACCUGUGGCUCAACCAUAGGCUUGCCUACAAAACUGUUGAACUAGAGUACUGGAAAGGUGGGUGGAAAUACACGAGUAGAGUUGAAAUUCGUAGAUAUGUGUAGGAAUGCCGAUGAUGAAGAUAACUCACUGGACAGAAACUGACGCUGAAGUGCGAAAGCUAGGGGAGCAAACAGG
Molecule: ribosomal RNA, 407 nt
Filed under: Verrucomicrobiota bacterium
Lineage: Bacteria; Pseudomonadati; Verrucomicrobiota
Description: Verrucomicrobia bacterium partial 16S ribosomal RNA
Rfam family: Bacterial small subunit ribosomal RNA
Source: RNAcentral